AGUUGCAGAGAUCUAAAUGCUACAUGCAUAAAUCAAGAAAAAAAAAAGCAGCAUUCAUAUUAAUGGAACCAUCAUCUAAUAGACACAAGCAAAAUAUAAAAACUCAAGCAAGGAAGUGUUGUUAUAAAUGUUGGAGAUCAACAGUACAUCACAUUGCUCUAGAAAUAGAGUAUCAUAAAGACUACUGAAGCCAUCUCCUAUGAGUAACAGGAAGACCAUUUAUUAUCACAAUUCAUAUUUACUAGUGAUAUAAAGUUAGAACCACACACAUACAGAUAAAAUCAUCAUCUACUACGAUCAGGCCAAAUAAUAAAAACUACAUAUCAAGAAUUGCAGCGAGUGUCGACAUUUUUUUCCCUUAAGGCAAGUAGUUUUUGAA
Long non-coding RNA from Biomphalaria glabrata, 379 nucleotides. RefSeq lists it as uncharacterized. The transcript is spliced from 3 exons. NCBI's taxonomy places the organism in Eukaryota, Metazoa, Mollusca, Gastropoda, Planorbidae. The record is from RefSeq and is a predicted model, not a curated record.